GGACGCGUAGCUCAGCGGGAGAGCACUACGUUGACAUCGUAGGGGUCACAGGUUCAAUCCCUGUCGCGUCCA
This is a transfer RNA of Brevundimonas sp. Root1279, 72 nucleotides long. It matches the Rfam family "tRNA". From Rfam's summary of the family: Transfer RNA (tRNA) molecules are approximately 80 nucleotides in length. Their secondary structure includes four short double-helical elements and three loops (D, anti-codon, and T loops). The record is from Rfam. NCBI's taxonomy places the organism in Bacteria, Pseudomonadati, Pseudomonadota, Alphaproteobacteria, Caulobacterales, Caulobacteraceae.